UGGUUUCUAGGUCUUUAGUGUAGUGGGUUCGAUACCCCUAUGCGUAGUUUUUCUUUCUUUUAAUAUUUUCUUUUAUAUUUAUGCUUUAUUAUUCAUAUUUCUUUUUUUUAUUAUUGUUUAAUAAUAUAGAUUUGUUUUCUCUUUUAAUUGCAUCAUGCAUUCGAAACCAUUUUUUUAACUUAUAAAAAUCAUAUUUUCUCGAUUUAAUAUCGAGCCCUUUUUCACACCCUUGUAAGUCGAUUGCUUUUUAAGCAUCGCCAUCAACCUCACAUAGCUUACUCUUGGGCUUUCUUACAAUGAGCCGGUUCUCUUGCACUUACACUCAUGCAUUAUUUGUUGUUUGGGUCCGAUUCAAUUAUUUCAUGAUUUUUAAUCCCCAUUUGACAAAAUGUACCCCAUUCCCCCGAUGUGUAAUAAUCUUGUACUAUUUUAUUUCUCUAUUGCUUGUCUGUUUAGUUAGAUACUAACACAAGAGUAAAAUCAACAAUUUCAAAAAUAC
Molecule: long non-coding RNA, 499 nt
Filed under: Lathyrus oleraceus (garden pea)
Lineage: Eukaryota; Viridiplantae; Streptophyta; Magnoliopsida; Fabales; Fabaceae
Description: Pisum sativum (pea) long non-coding RNA (PSAT_LNC021574)
Source: RNAcentral